AAUCAACGCUGGCGGCGCGCCUAACACAUGCAAGUCGAACGAGAAAGUGGAGCAAUCCAUGAGUACAGUGGCGUACGGGUGAGUAACACGUGGGUGAUCUACCUCUUAGUGAGGAAUAACCCUGGGAAACCGGGGCUAAUACCGCAUAAGCCUGAGAAGGGAAAGUCGAAAGACGCUGAGAGAGGAGCCCGCGGCCGAUUAGCUAGUUGGUGGGGUAAGAGCCCACCAAGGCAGAGAUCGGUAGCCGGCCUGAGAGGGCACACGGCCACACUGGCACUGAAACACGGGCCAGACUCCUACGGGAGGCAGCAGUGGGGAAUCUUGCACAAUGGGGGAAACCCUGAUGCAGCGACGCCGCGUGAGCGAUGAAGCCCUUCGGGGUGUAAAGCUCUUUCGGCAGGGAAGAUAGUGACGGUACCUGCAGAAGCAGCUGCGGCUAACUACGUGCCAGCAGCCGCGGUAAUACGUAGGCAGCAAGCGUUGUUCGGAGUUACUGGGCGUAAAGGGUGUGUAGGCGGUUCCUUAAGUUUGCCGUGAAAUCUCCCGGCUUAACCGGGAGGGUGCGGUGAAUACUGAGGGACUAGAGUACGGGAGAGGAAAGUGGAAUUCCUGGUGUAGCGGUGAAAUGCGUAGAUAUCAGGAGGAACACCGGUGGUGUAGACGGCUUUCUGGACCGUAACUGACGCUGAGACACGAAAGCGUGGGUAGCAAACAGGAUUAGAUACCCUGGUCGUCCACGCCCUAAACGAUGCAUAUUUGGUGUGGGCAGUUCAUUCUGUCUGUGCCGGAGCUAACGCGUUAAAUAUGCCGCCUGGGGAGUACAGUCGCAAGGCUG
This 835-nucleotide ribosomal RNA is filed under the name uncultured bacterium. RNAcentral's name for it is "bacterial SSU rRNA". It matches the Rfam family "Bacterial small subunit ribosomal RNA", at positions 28 to 896 of the family's 1533-position model. The record is from RNAcentral.